RNAcentral lists this long non-coding RNA (981 nucleotides) under Vigna radiata. RNAcentral describes it as "long non-coding RNA (VRAD_LNC003274)". Lineage: Eukaryota; Viridiplantae; Streptophyta; Magnoliopsida; Fabales; Fabaceae. The record is from RNAcentral.
UUCUAAAAAAAUAAUCUUUUAAAUUACUGAUCAAAUUCAUUUUGUUAUAUGCAAUAAUGUUGCACCCAAUACCCACUUAACCUACUGAUAAAGAAAAUGUGUUUGAGUGAGGUGGCUCAUACAUGUUAAACCAAAGCUUCAUUUUCAGUUAAUAGAAGCAAUUUAUUAUCUUAGCUUAGAUACAUACAUGCAUCUUCAUUCAGCACGUUCUUAUUCAUGCAUUUAACACUUGUACAAAAACUUCACUCACCUCACAAAAACGUCAACCAAGGAGUAACAAAAACGAGAUUUGAUUGUUGGUGCAAAAUGAUAAAACAGAAUCGAUUCUCCACAAUGACGGAAUCGAUUCUCUGCAGUGAUGAACAUGGGAAUAGAUUAUGCACAUUCAAAUGAAAUAGGAGAAUUUCUCCUUGUGUAUUUUCCAACAAUUUACAUUACAUAAUCAAUUCUUUAAUUUAUAUAAUUGAUUCUCAUCCUGCAUUUUACACGUAUUAAUUUAAAGUUGGAGAAUUUAUCCUUUCACACAUCCCUAUAAUUAAUUUCAUUCCUAGAAUCACAUGAUUGAUUCAAAAGUGUAAAGAAUUGAUUUCAACAUCUCACAAACAACUUCCAAAGCCUCAAUAAUUGAUUUAGUUAAUCUCAUGAUCAAUUCAAACACCAAUAAAAUCAAUUUCACCACUCUCAUAAUCGAUUCUAACAAAAAUAGAAUCGAUUUCACCGCUCUUAUAAUCAAUUAUUCCAUCUUUUUAACACUUCGAUAAUCGAUUCUAACUCCUAUUUCACACAUCCAAAAUUAAUUUCAUGUUUACACCAUUUCAAACCUUUUUUUUCUUUCGUAUCACAAUUUCACGGAACUCCUCCUUCGUAUUUAAUAUCUUUGUAUUUGUUUAUUGUAAUCAAAGAGAAAUACAUCAAUUUCAUUGUGAUUUUUGUAUUUAUUACUAUGAUGAAUGGAAGACAACACUGACAUAAAAAUAAGCC